UUGAAGCCCACACAAGUGGUUCUAUAAAUAGAACCCCUUGGGUAGAAGCAUUGUCACUCCAAUCCACUCAGACAAAAAUUCAAGUAGAGACUUGGAAUUUUGUUUCCCUCUUUCUCUCACUCAAAGCCUUCAUUCAUAACAGCUAGCACUGCGAUUGAAGGAAUCCGUUCGUGCGGACUGAGUAGAGACGUUGUCAUCGUUCAACGUUCG
Molecule: long non-coding RNA, 210 nt
Filed under: Lathyrus oleraceus (garden pea)
Lineage: Eukaryota; Viridiplantae; Streptophyta; Magnoliopsida; Fabales; Fabaceae
Description: Pisum sativum (pea) long non-coding RNA (PSAT_LNC040585)
Source: RNAcentral